CCUACGGGCGGCUGCAGUGGGGAAUUUUGUGCAAUGCUCGUAAGAGUGACGCAGCGACGCCGCGUGAAUGACGAAGGCCUUCGGGUCGUAAAGCUCUUUCGACAGGGAAGAAAAUGCUUAUAAGUAACAGUGUAUGUAUUGACGGUACCUGCAGAAGAAGCACCGGCUAACUCCGUGCCAGCAGCCGCGGUAAUACGGAGGGGGCGAGCGUUGUUCGGAGUGACUGGGCGUAAAGCGCACGUAGGCGGUGUUGUAAGUCAGUUGUCAAAGCCUAGAGCUCAACCUUAGUAAGGCAAGUGAUACUAGAAGACUAGAGUAUCAGAGAGGAUGGCAGAAUGCCUGGUGUAGCGGUGAAAUGCGUAGAGAUCAGGAGGAAUACCGUUAGCGAAGGCGGCAAUCUGGCUGGAAACUGACGCUGAGGUGCGAAAGCGUGGGUAGCAAACAGGAUUAGAUACCCGGGUAGUC
RNAcentral lists this ribosomal RNA (465 nucleotides) under uncultured bacterium. RNAcentral describes it as "partial 16S ribosomal RNA". It matches the Rfam family "Bacterial small subunit ribosomal RNA", at positions 338 to 795 of the family's 1533-position model. The record is from RNAcentral.